Molecule: long non-coding RNA, 435 nt
Organism: Chinchilla lanigera (long-tailed chinchilla)
Lineage: Eukaryota; Metazoa; Chordata; Mammalia; Rodentia; Chinchillidae
Exons: 4
Source: RefSeq, a predicted model, not a curated record
CACGGUGGGCACCAGCUCGGCCAGAUCCACCGAGUCCCUGGUGUCGAGGGACAGCGUGCGGCGGUGGUGGCGGUGGUGGCGCGUCAGGUAAGGAAGCUGAGGCUCAAAGAAAAGUAGUCAUUUGCUCAUGGUCACACAACUUAGAGGUGAGGAAGCAAGGCAGAGACUGCUCGGAGCAAGAAAGGCUUGUCCCACACGGCCCGGUGAUGCCAGGAAGGACCAGACCAUGGGCCCCAUCCUAACCAACAGGGGUUCCUAACCCGGGGAAGAGAAGCAGAUGGGAAAACUGAGGCUCAGAAGUUAAUGAGGACCUAGGCUACAAACUCCUACCUGCCUGAUUGUAAGGACCACCCCUGCAAAAGAAUAGAGGAAGCAGGACCCAGAAUCCCAGAUCUUGGGGGCUUCAAAUCUCAGGGAUGGAGAUGUCUAGUCCUU